CCCUCCCCAGCCUUUAGUGUGUUAAGAAGCUGGCCCCUUUGGAUCUAGGUUGAGAUGGAAGACAGAGCGGGCUGUUUGCAUGGUUGCUAAUAGGUGCUAUAGACCUUACAGACAAAGGGGCUUCCAGACACAGGACCUUCUGUGAUUUUUUUUUCAUUGUACCAGUCUUCUGACACAUAUGGACUUAUAACGGCUGCUUACAGGAUUUCUUUAUUUGCUCUAAUAUAGACUUUGUUUUCCAAUUACAUUGAAUCUUGAUCUUAUCUAAGAGUCAGCAGGCUUUAGAUUUAUUAAGGGUGUUUACCUCGGUCCCUAAUAUUUCAUUUAGAACUGGACGUAAAGUUUACCUUCCUUGACUUUGAAAGUUGAGCUUAAAUUUUGUCUGUUUCAUUCAUCUGUUUAUUCAUUUAGCUGACUUUAAUAAGUACCUCUUACCUGGUCUGUGUUGGUGCUGGGUGGUGGGAGUGUUGCAGAGGGCAAGGGCGAGGUAGACUAGUGACGUCUCUGAGGUCUGUGAAGUCACCCUUUCUGUGUGCAAAUUAGGAUGCUUCUGGCUCAGAGUAACUGAAUGCCGACUUAGUUGACUUAAAGUUUGCAUAAGGAGAUUGAGUAAUUGCCUUUAAAAACUUAAGAAGUCCACAUAGUUAAAGCAAUUGCUAGGGAAGAAGAGUGACUG
RNAcentral lists this long non-coding RNA (676 nucleotides) under Bos taurus (domestic cattle). RNAcentral describes it as "long non-coding RNA NONBTAT011315". Lineage: Eukaryota; Metazoa; Chordata; Mammalia; Artiodactyla; Bovidae. The record is from RNAcentral.